Molecule: unclassified non-coding RNA, 3292 nt
Filed under: Leishmania donovani
Lineage: Eukaryota; Euglenozoa; Kinetoplastea; Trypanosomatida; Trypanosomatidae
Description: gene:LdHU3.19.1250(CDS-product:phenylalanyl-tRNA_ synthetase_putative)
Source: RNAcentral
CCUAGAAACGCGCACGUAGGCGCAUAUCAGCUUGCUCGUUUGCUGUUGGAUCGAAGGCUUUUCCUUUCGGUGUUUCUAUUCUACCCACCCACCACUGCCUGCUCCUUCCUUGCUGACGGCGUCGCUUCUCUUGAGCUCAUCAUCUCGCAUCCGCGGCCCUCCCUCUAGCUGCCUCUUUUCCUGUUGAACAGAAGUAUUACUCACACACACACGCACGCAGAGAGAUUCAAGAAGAUGCCGACGUUGGCCGUGGCGAAGGACUACAUCUGCCGGCUGAUCGGCAAGUCCUACACAGACGAGGAGUUCAACGACCUGUGUUUCCAGUUUGGCCUGGAGCUCGAUGACAUUACGAGUGAGAAAGAAAUGUUCAUGAGGGAGCAGGGCAAGAGCGCAAAGGCGAGCGUGGCUCCGGCGGAGGCCCCUGCGCACCUUUCGGAGGAGAAGCUCUACAAAAUUGACACCCCGGCAAACCGUCACGACCUUCUCACCGCGGAGGGCAUGGCCUGCGCUCUAAAGGUGUUCAUGGGGACAAUGCCGCUCCCCAACUACCGCGUCCUCAACCGUGCCAACCCGCUCUACCGCAUGACCGUGGAGAAAAGCGUGAAGAACGUGCGCGACUACGUUGUGUGCGCUGUACUGCACAACAUCCGCUUCAACGAGCGCAGUUACAACAGCUUCAUCGACUACCAGGAGAAGCUCCACGCCGGGUUGGCCCGCCGCCGCACGCUGGCCUCGGUUGGCACCCACGACCUAGACAAGGUGAACACGACGGACUUUAUCUUCGCCUGCCGCCCGCGCGAGACCAUCCGGUUCGUUCCGCUGCGGCAGACAAGGGAGCUGAACUGCUCAGGCAACGGCCUCACGCAGUACUACGCCGAGGACCGCCACAUCGGCAAGUAUGUACCGCUAAUCUCCUCCUUUCCGACCUACCCGGUUGUGUACGACGGUACCGGCCAGAACGUGCUCUCGUUGCCGCCGAUCAUCAACUCGCGCUACUCGGCCAUCUCCGUGGACACCAGGAACAUCUUCAUUGAGUGCACGGCCCCGGACCACUACAAGGCGCAGGUGCUGGUGAACCAGCUCGUGUGUGCCUUCUCGGCCUACUGCGAGGAUCCCUUCACAGUGGAGGCGGUGCAGGUGAACUAUGAGGAGCCGACGCCAGACGGAACAAGGUCGCUUGUGACACCAACGAUGGAGACGAAGGAAAUGACGAUGAGCAUCGCACGCCUCAACUCGAUCAUCGGCAUCGAAAUGAAAAGUGGUGCUGAGUGCGCGCAGCUGCUGAAGAAGAUGAUGUACACGAUCAAGGAGACGACGGAGAGUGAGGUGACGGUGACGGUGCCGCCAAUGCGCACGGACGUCAUCGGCGUCGCGGACGUGAUGGAGGAUGUCGCCAUCGCGUACGGCUACGACAACAUCGCCUACGUGGAGUGCAAGACCCAUGGCCCUGUGACGCAGACGCCGCUGAGCAAGGUGGCGCAGCUGCUGCGCACUGAGAUGGCCUGCGCAGGCUACACGGAGCUGCUGACGCUGUCACUCUGCUCGCGCGCCGAUGCGUUCGAGAGCCUGGGCCGCGUGGACAACGACGUCGCGGCGCACAUCGCCAACCCGCAGACGAUGGAGUUCCAGGUGUGCCGCCCAUCACUGCUCCCCGGUAUUCUGAAGACGCUCGCGACGAACAAGUCGAAGCCUCUACCGCAGCGCUUCUUCGAGUGCGCGGACGUCGUCCUGCUGGACAACGAACGGAACUUCCCACCGGUGCUGGAGUUGAAGGCCGACUACGCGUCCUGUGGUGCGCGGAACCAGAGACACCUCGCCGCCGCGCACUGCAACGGCAGCUCUAGCGGAUUUGAGAGCAUUCACGGCCUCACCGAGCUCGCCCUACUCAAGCUUGGCGUCCCGUCGAAAGCGGAGAUAGCAGAGGACUACGAAGGCGACUACUACACACUGGAGAAGGGCGAGGACGGCGCCUUCUUUCCUGGCCGCGCUAUGGACAUCAUUCUUCACCGCGCUGGUCAGGCAGUGCGCAUCGGGCACCUCGGCGUCAUCCACCCGAACACGCUCAAGGCGUACGACAUUCCGAGCCCGUGCUCUUACAUGGAGCUCAACAUCCAGUUCCUGUGCGUCCCUCUGUAAAGCGGCGCCGUCCGGGUGAGAGGAAACGAAUGAAGGAAGGCGGGCGUUGAUACGCGCACGGAGAGGGUGAGGCGACUUGGCCGAACGGCAGGAGGGAAGCCGGGAGUCGAUACGACACCUGGGUGUGAUUCUGUGCGUACCCACCGACUCACUCUUCCUCUCCGUCUCCCGGCCCACUCAAAGAGUGGGCAUCUUAGGCUGCUUAGAGCGCAGAAGGUCGCGCACGGUGGUGAGUGAGGGAGCGAGCGAGCGAGUGGAGGGGGAAGUGCACGCUGCUUUGCCAUGCUGCACCUCACGUAUAUUGAGCUGGAGCUGUCCUAACACCCUCGUUCCUCUCACUCCGAUACCGCCACGCGCACGCACACGCCACCCCUCUCCCCCACACUCUCCUCCAAAACCCAUUUCUAUCUUCAUGAGGCUGUGCCGCUUCUGUUGUCGUCCCCGUUUGCUGCGUACGUGUGUGCGUGUGCCGAGACGCGCGAAUGCACAGGGAGCGCACAGCGGAGCAGACGAACGACAGGGGAAGUGAGCUACGGCGGGUUAAUGCCUAAGUGGUCUUUAACGUAUUUUUUGUUGUAUUGCCGUUGUUUAUCGUGCGGUGUGCGCCUCCCAUCCCAUCCCUCGUCCUUGGGUAGAAGACGGGUGUGACAUCCGCACCUCGGGGCGUGGCAUCUCAGGGCUCCGUGCAUACCCCACUCUGUGAGAGUGGGUGGGUGGGUGCCUGUCGCGUUGUUGCGCGCGCGCUCUCGACCUUUUCCUCUUUGUUUAUGCUUCUUCAAGUGCCAAGUCGGAGGGAGGGAGAGAGGGGCGGCUGGAGGGAGGAAUGGAAUUUCACGCAGCAUGUGUGAGCAGAAGGGGGGGCUUGGAUGCCGCACAUGUGUCUGCCUCUAUCGUUCAUUUAGCCCCACCACCACAGCCAUACACACGCGCCGAUGCCCCUGUUGCGGUACGUGCUUCACUGAAGCGACAUCGUAACAUUUCGCUUCUCGCGUUGCUUGUGUUGUUCGCCCACCCAUCACUCGGCAGAAGGAUGCGAAAUGCCGGGGAGAGGGAGAGCGAUGGCCAUGGCGAGAGAUCCACGGCUGCUUGGAGAGGCACUGGAGGUCGAGUUCCCCGGCGUGGAACAGUUGUGUGCGCAUGUGUGUGUGCACGUUCG